CUACGGGGGGCUCCAGUGGGGAAUAUUGGACAAUGGGGGAAACCCUGAUCCAGCAAUGCCGCGUGUGUGAAGAAGGCCUGCGGGUUGUAAAGCACUUUCGGUUGGGAGGACUGCUUCUAGCACUAAUAUUGUUGGAAGUUGACGUUACCUUCAGAAGAAGCACCGGCUAACUCCGUGCCAGCAGCCGCGGUAAUACGGAGGGUGCAAGCGUGAAUUGGAAUUACUGGGCGUAAAGCGCGCGUAGGCGGCUAGAUCAGUCGGGUGUGAAAGCCCCGGGCUUAACCUGGGAACUGCAUCCGAUACUGUCUAGCUUGAGUACAGGAGAGGAGAGUGGAAUUCCACAUGUAGCUGUGAAAUGCGUAGAUAUGUGGAGGAACACCAAUGGCGAAGGCAGCUCUCUGGCCUGAUACUGACGCUGAGGUGCGAAAGCGUGGGGAGCAAACAGGAUUAGAUACCCUCGUAGUC
RNAcentral lists this ribosomal RNA (465 nucleotides) under uncultured bacterium. RNAcentral's name for it is "partial 16S ribosomal RNA". It matches the Rfam family "Bacterial small subunit ribosomal RNA", at positions 339 to 795 of the family's 1533-position model. The record is from RNAcentral.